AUUGAACGCUGGCGGCAUGCCUUACACAUGCAAGUCGAACGGUAACGGGCCUUCGGGUGCCGACGAGUGGCGCACGGGUGAGUAAUACAUCGGAACGUGCCCGAUCGUGGGGGAUAACGAGGCGAAAGCUUUGCUAAUACCGCAUACGAUCUACGGAUGAGAGCAGGGGACCGCAAGGCCUUGCGCGGACGGAGCGGCCGAUGGCAGAUUAGGUAGUUGGUGGGAUAAAAGCUUACCAAGCCGACGAUCUGUAGCUGGUCUGAGAGGAUGAUCAGCCACACUGGGACUGAGACACGGCCCAGACUCCUACGGGAGGCAGCAGUGGGGAAUUUUGGACAAUGGGCGCAAGCCUGAUCCAGCCAUGCCGCGUGCAGGAUGAAGGCCUUCGGGUUGUAAACUGCUUUUGUACGGAACGAAAAGCCUUCUUUUAAUACAGGAGGGUCAUGACGGUACCGUAAGAAUAAGCACCGGCUAACUACGUG
Molecule: ribosomal RNA, 482 nt
Filed under: uncultured bacterium
Lineage: Bacteria
Description: partial 16S ribosomal RNA
Rfam family: Bacterial small subunit ribosomal RNA
Source: RNAcentral